RNAcentral lists this ribosomal RNA (3029 nucleotides) under Salmonella enterica. RNAcentral describes it as "bacterial LSU rRNA". It matches the Rfam family "Bacterial large subunit ribosomal RNA". The record is from RNAcentral. RNAcentral also lists the same sequence under 5 other names. Lineage: Bacteria; Pseudomonadati; Pseudomonadota; Gammaproteobacteria; Enterobacterales; Enterobacteriaceae.
GGGUUGUGAGGUUAAGCGACUAAGCGUACACGGUGGAUGCCCUGGCAGUCAGAGGCGAUGAAGGGCGUGCUAAUCUGCGAUAAGCGCCGGUAAGGUGAUAUGAACCGUUAUAACCGGCGAUACCCGAAUGGGGAAACCCAGUGUGACUCGUCACACUAUCAUUAACUGAAUCCAUAGGUUAAUGAGGCGAACCGGGGGAACUGAAACAUCUAAGUACCCCGAGGAAAAGAAAUCAACCGAGAUUCCCCCAGUAGCGGCGAGCGAACGGGGAGGAGCCCAGAGCCUGAAUCAGCAUGUGUGUUAGUGGAAGCGUCUGGAAAGGCGCGCGAUACAGGGUGACAGCCCCGUACACAAAAGCGCAUGUGCUGUGAGCUCGAUGAGUAGGGCGGGACACGUGGUAUCCUGUCUGAAUAUGGGGGGACCAUCCUCCAAGGCUAAAUACUCCUGACUGACCGAUAGUGAACCAGUACCGUGAGGGAAAGGCGAAAAGAACCCCGGCGAGGGGAGUGAAAAAGAACCUGAAACCGUGUACGUACAAGCAGUGGGAGCCCCACCACCAAAGCAUUCUCUGGUGUUGAAGGCCCUGCAAAGCAGCAUCGCGGUGGCGGAGCGUCGUUUGCGACGCCCAACACACAAAACAAGCGGUGAAUGCUUUGGGGUGGGGUGACUGCGUACCUUUUGUAUAAUGGGUCAGCGACUUAUAUUCUGUAGCAAGGUUAACCGAAUAGGGGAGCCGGAGGGAAACCGAGUCUUAAUUGGGCGUUAAGUUGCAGGGUAUAGACCCGAAACCCGGUGAUCUAGCCAUGGGCAGGUUGAAGGUUGGGUAACACUAACUGGAGGACCGAACCGACUAAUGUUGAAAAAUUAGCGGAUGACCUGUGGCUGGGGGUGAAAGGCCAAUCAAACCGGGAGAUAGCUGGUUCUCCCCGAAAGCUAUUUAGGUAGCGCCUCGUGAAUUCAUCUCCGGGGGUAGAGCACUGUUUCGGCUAGGGGGCCAUCCCGGCUUACCAACCCGAUGCAAACUGCGAAUACCGGAGAAUGUUAUCACGGGAGACACACGGCGGGUGCUAACGUCCGUCGUGAAGAGGGAAACAACCCAGACCGCCAGCUAAGGUCCCAAAGUCAUGGUUAAGUGGGAAACGAUGUGGGAAGGCCCAGACAGCCAGGAUGUUGGCUUAGAAGCAGCCAUCAUUUAAAGAAAGCGUAAUAGCUCACUGGUCGAGUCGGCCUGCGCGGAAGAUGUAACGGGGCUAAACCAUGCACCGAAGCUGCGGCAGCGACGCUGAUGCGUUGUUGGGUAGGGGAGCGUUCUGUAAGCCUGCGAAGGUGACCUGUGAGGGUUGCUGGAGGUAUCAGAAGUGCGAAUGCUGACAUAAGUAACGAUAAAGCGGGUGAAAAGCCCGCUCGCCGGAAGACCAAGGGUUCCUGUCCAACGUUAAUCGGGGCAGGGUGAGUCGACCCCUAAGGCGAGGCCGAAAGGCGUAGUCGAUGGGAAACGGGUUAAUAUUCCCGUACUUGGUGUUACUGCGAAGGGGGGACGGAGAAGGCUAUGUUGGCCGGGCGACGGUUGUCCCGGUUUAAGCGUGUAGGUGUGUGUUCCAGGUAAAUCCGGUUCACUUUAACACUGAGGCGUGAUGACGAGGCACUACGGUGCUGAAGCAACAAAUGCCCUGCUUCCAGGAAAAGCCUCUAAGCAUCAGGUAACAUCAAAUCGUACCCCAAACCGACACAGGUGGUCAGGUAGAGAAUACCAAGGCGCUUGAGAGAACUCGGGUGAAGGAACUAGGCAAAAUGGUGCCGUAACUUCGGGAGAAGGCACGCUGACACGUAGGUGAAGUGAUUUACUCACGGAGCUGAAGUCAGUCGAAGAUACCAGCUGGCUGCAACUGUUUAUUAAAAACACAGCACUGUGCAAACACGAAAGUGGACGUAUACGGUGUGACGCCUGCCCGGUGCCGGAAGGUUAAUUGAUGGGGUCAGCGCAAGCGAAGCUCCUGAUCGAAGCCCCGGUAAACGGCGGCCGUAACUAUAACGGUCCUAAGGUAGCGAAAUUCCUUGUCGGGUAAGUUCCGACCUGCACGAAUGGCGUAAUGAUGGCCAGGCUGUCUCCACCCGAGACUCAGUGAAAUUGAACUCGCUGUGAAGAUGCAGUGUACCCGCGGCAAGACGGAAAGACCCCGUGAACCUUUACUAUAGCUUGACACUGAACAUUGAGCCUUGAUGUGUAGGAUAGGUGGGAGGCUUUGAAGUGUGGACGCCAGUCUGCAUGGAGCCGACCUUGAAAUACCACCCUUUAAUGUUUGAUGUUCUAACGUGGACCCGUAAUCCGGGUUGCGGACAGUGUCUGGUGGGUAGUUUGACUGGGGCGGUCUCCUCCUAAAGAGUAACGGAGGAGCACGAAGGUUGGCUAAUCCUGGUCGGACAUCAGGAGGUUAGUGCAAUGGCAUAAGCCAGCUUGACUGCGAGCGUGACGGCGCGAGCAGGUGCGAAAGCAGGUCAUAGUGAUCCGGUGGUUCUGAAUGGAAGGGCCAUCGCUCAACGGAUAAAAGGUACUCCGGGGAUAACAGGCUGAUACCGCCCAAGAGUUCAUAUCGACGGCGGUGUUUGGCACCUCGAUGUCGGCUCAUCACAUCCUGGGGCUGAAGUAGGUCCCAAGGGUAUGGCUGUUCGCCAUUUAAAGUGGUACGCGAGCUGGGUUUAGAACGUCGUGAGACAGUUCGGUCCCUAUCUGCCGUGGGCGCUGGAGAACUGAGGGGGGCUGCUCCUAGUACGAGAGGACCGGAGUGGACGCAUCACUGGUGUUCGGGUUGUCAUGCCAAUGGCACUGCCCGGUAGCUAAAUGCGGAAGAGAUAAGUGCUGAAAGCAUCUAAGCACGAAACUUGCCCCGAGAUGAGUUCUCCCUGAGACUUUAGGUCUCCUGAAGGAACGUUGAAGACGACGACGUUGAUAGGCCGGGUGUGUAAGCGCAGCGAUGCGUUGAGCUAACCGGUACUAAUGAACCGUGAGGCUUAACCUUACAACGCCGAAG